GUUGAGCAUCCGUAUAAGCAUGAAGUAACGAACCCGAAUCAUGACGGAGGAGAAGACCAUGAUUGAUUGUGCCCUGAAGAUACCGUAAUAUUCGUUUAACCGCUGACCAGUGAUUAGUUGUAGGAGCCUGCAUGAAUUGGCAGACUUUGUUGACUGCAAAGGCAAGGUCGGGUCUAGACAAUGUAACAUACUGUAGUGCCCCAACCAUUUGGCGAUAUUGAACUGGGUUGUCAUGGGGAGGACUGUCACUGAGAGACAGAUUAGACGAGGUGGUCAUGGGAGAUGGAACCGGUUUAGCAAGAGACAUGUUGGCCCGGUGAAGCAAGUCUAGUAUAUAUUUCUUUUGAGACAAAAAAAUAUCCCUGUCACGGUAAACAAUCUCAAUACCCAAAAAGUAGGACAAUUUUCCCAAAUCUUGUAGAGCAAAGAUAUGACUUAGACGACGUACGAUAGUGUCAAUAGCAGCCGAGUCAUUUCCCGUGAGUAUGAUAUCAUCGACAUAAACCAACAUGUAUAGCAGCGUUUUACCUGACGAGUAGAUAAACAAGGAAGGAUCCGUUUUGGAGCCCCUAAAACCGAGGCUGCGUAGGACAGAAGAGAGUCGAUGAAACCAUGCCCGGGGUGCUUGUUUGAGGCCAUAGAGAGACUUGUGAAGGAGGCACACGUGAUCCGGUCUCAUGGGAUCAACAAACCCUGGCGGUUGUUGUAGGUAAACGGUUUCCUUGAGAUCCCCAUGUAAAAAUGCAUUUUGAACGUCUAAUUGGCGGAGGGGCCAACCUUUUGUAACAGCAAUAGAAAGGACCGUACGGAUAGUAGUAGCCUUAAUGACUGGGCUAAAAGUGUCAUGAUAGUCAACACCCGGUUGUUGUCGAAAACCCUUAGCAACCAAACGCGCUUUGUAACGCGUGAUAGCCCCAGUUUGGUCUUGUUUCAUUUUGUACACCCAUUUACAAUCCACAACAUUAGUGUUCGGACUACGUGGAACCAAUGACCAUGUGCCAUUCCGAACUAGAGCUGAAUAUUCAUCAGCCAUGGCCUGUCGCCAGUGAGGAUCUUUGUUGGCAACGCUAAAGGAGGUAGGUUCGGUAGGUGGGGAGAUAUAGGAGGUAUUUGCGGAAGGAUUAUAACGGUUGGUUUUCUUUGGAUUAGGUGGAAUCAGGGGCUGAUGUUGGGCCAGUUGAGGGUCAGAGGCGGGCUGUUGGUCACGGCUGUUGGUAACGGCUGUGAAGGCUUGGGUAGGGGGGAUGGAUUCGGGUUUUCUAACCAGAAAAUCAUGGUCAGCUAA
RNAcentral lists this long non-coding RNA (1285 nucleotides) under Helianthus annuus (common sunflower). RNAcentral's name for it is "hypothetical non coding rna". Lineage: Eukaryota; Viridiplantae; Streptophyta; Magnoliopsida; Asterales; Asteraceae. The record is from RNAcentral.